GUGCCAGCAGCCGCGGUAAUACGAAGGGGGCUAGCGUUGCUCGGAAUUACUGGGCGUAAAGGGAGCGUAGGCGGACAUUUAAGUCAGGGGUGAAAUCCCGGGGCUCAACCUCGGAAUUGCCUUUGAUACUGGGUGUCUUGAGUAUGAGAGAGGUGUGUGGAACUCCGAGUGUAGAGGUGAAAUUCGUAGAUAUUCGGAAGAACACCAGUGGCGAAGGCGACACACUGGCUCAUUACUGACGCUGAGGCUCGAAAGCGUGGGGAGCAAACAGGAUUAGAUACCCUGGUAGUCC
This 292-nucleotide ribosomal RNA is filed under the name uncultured microorganism. Its description in RNAcentral is "partial 16S ribosomal RNA". It matches the Rfam family "Bacterial small subunit ribosomal RNA", at positions 505 to 796 of the family's 1533-position model. The record is from RNAcentral.